RNAcentral lists this long non-coding RNA (223 nucleotides) under Linum usitatissimum (flax). RNAcentral's name for it is "long non-coding RNA (LUSI_LNC004222)". Lineage: Eukaryota; Viridiplantae; Streptophyta; Magnoliopsida; Malpighiales; Linaceae. The record is from RNAcentral.
UUCGAUAAUUCAAAAUUUAGUGUUUCUUUGAUUGAGAGGUAUGUAGUAAUAUCGUUUAUCGUUUUUUUUUGUCAUUUAUUUUUUUAUUUUUCGGUAAACUCCUAUUCGAUAUAAAUUAAGAUUUUUGAAGCAAAAAUCAGUUAGGAUUUUUCUUGAAAUAACAAGAGGGUUGGAAUUUUUGCUUCUGUCACCCUGCUACAAAUCGAAGAUGGCAAUAGUGUCG